Molecule: non-coding RNA, 45 nt
Organism: Schistosoma haematobium
Lineage: Eukaryota; Metazoa; Platyhelminthes; Trematoda; Strigeidida; Schistosomatidae
Source: Rfam
ACCUUGCUGGCGAGUGCCAAGUAGCACGAAACCCGGGUCCAAGGU